UACGAAGGGGGCUAGCGUUGCUCGGAAUUACUGGGCGUAAAGCACACGUAGGCGGCUUCUUAAGUCGGUGGUGAAAUCCUGGAGCUCAACUCCAGAACUGCCUUCGAUACUGGGAAGCUCGAGUCCGGGAGAGGUGAGUGGAACUGCGAGUGUAGAGGUGAAAUUCGUAGAUAUUCGCAAGAACACCAGUGGCGAAGGCGGCUCACUGGCCCGGUACUGACGCUGAGGUGCGAAAGCGUGGGGAGCAAACAGG
RNAcentral lists this ribosomal RNA (253 nucleotides) under uncultured bacterium. RNAcentral's name for it is "partial 16S ribosomal RNA". It matches the Rfam family "Bacterial small subunit ribosomal RNA", at positions 524 to 776 of the family's 1533-position model. The record is from RNAcentral.